Molecule: ribosomal RNA, 433 nt
Filed under: uncultured bacterium
Lineage: Bacteria
Description: partial 16S ribosomal RNA
Rfam family: Bacterial small subunit ribosomal RNA
Source: RNAcentral
AACGAACGCUGGCGGCAUGCCUAACACAUGCAAGUCGAACGAGACCUUCGGGUCUAGUGGCGCACGGGUGCGUAACGCGUGGGAACCUGCCCUUAGGUUCGGAAUAACUCCCCGAAAGGGGUGCUAAUACCGGAUAAUGUCUUCGGACCAAAGAUUUAUCGCCUUUGGAUGGGCCCGCGUUGGAUUAGCUAGUUGGUAGGGUAAAAGCCUACCAAGGCGACGAUCCAUAGCUGGUCUGAGAGGAUGAUCAGCCACACUGGGACUGAGACACGGCCCAGACUCCUACGGGAGGCAGCAGUGGGGAAUAUUGGACAAUGGGCGAAAGCCUGAUCCAGCCAUGCCGCGUGAGUGAUGAAGGCCUUAGGGUUGUAAAGCUCUUUUACCCGGGAUGAUAAUGACAGGACCGGGAGAAUAAGCUCCGGCUAACUCCGUG